CGGGCGCAAAAGCAAAAUUGUGCCAUGGAAGCGGACGGAAGUCACGGAACAAAACGGAUGUGUGGUGAUGGGACAGUAAUGUCAUUUUAGCUGUUUCACAUGCCCCUUCUUCUCUUUAUAACCUUUUUGUACUCGACAGUAAGACAGAUAAAAACCCUAGAUAUUAGCGUGAGCAAAUUGUGAUGAAGAUUUGAAUCAGCAUGGAUCUCGGUGCGUUUUUAGAUGAAGAUUAUGAUUCGGAUGACUAUGAUCAUUCAAUAAAUUAUGGUGAUGGUUAUGAUGAUUAUGAGGGUGUAGAUUUUAGUGAGUAUAUUGAUGCUGAAGAAGGUGAAGGGAGUGAGAUGUCACCCGUGGGGACUGUUUUAAAGGAUGGCACAUGUGACGAGAAGAAUAAAUCAGAUAGGUCAGAAACAAGAAGGGAUUCUCAAAUUAUUCUACAUCGUCACAGUGGUGAUGAAGAGAAAACUAACAUGGAUAUCGAAAAUGGAGCUUCAGAGGAGAAUAUGGCAACUGAGAGGAAGAAAAAGGAGAAGCGCAAGUCGCAGGAGGAUGGGGUAGAAUCAGAGCAGAACGACGGUAUUGAAAUUGCUAUUGAAGUGAAGAAGAAAAAGGAUUCUAUAAUCGAGAGUAAUGUUUAAAUGAAGAGAAAACUGGCUUGGAUAUCAAGGAUGGGAGAUUUAGAGGAGAAAAAGGAGAAUAGACAAAGGAGCAUGGGGUCAAAUCAGAGCAGAACGACGGUAUCGAAACUCCAUUGUUGUGAAGAAGAAAAAGAAGUCUAUAACCAAAAGUGAAAAGUGAUGUUUAAGUUAUACACGAAGAUAAAGCCAUUAAAGAACGAAGUCCGUCCAUUCUUUCAACAAGAUGUGCAAAGGCCGCCUACUACUCCAGUGCGAUAUCAUUCAUUUCGGACUUGGGGACGGCUGAAAGGCAGGACAUUUCUCUGUCUAUAUGGAAAUAUUGGUUGGAAGGUGUUUCUGGAAUGCUGUUUUCUCUUGAUUAGGUUAUAUAUGGCACGAGGCACAGGUUGGCUGCUUGGAAUGUUACCUGGGCCUUCCAGAGCUGUGAACUGUGCUGGAUGGAAACCGUGGAACCUGCACAUGCUGGUAUUAUUUGCAAGUGAAGGCCGUACUGUUCCAGUUAGAGGUUCAAUAUGUGUUAGCUUGAAGCAAAAAGAAACCCAUGAUAAUCGGGUCGUCUGCCAUAGCAAUGGAUGGAGCUCUUCAGUAUCAAAAGAUGAUAUGCCAAUCAUCUUAGUUCGGUGUGUGGAGUCUGCUACUUUGGUGAUGUUCUAAAUUCAGUUUAUUGGCUAUCCAAUUUCUGAACUUCUCAACUGCUUGUGGAAAUGCUUGAGAGAUGAAGUGAAAGCUAACAUGGAGAAGCGCAAAUUACUGGAGGAUUGGAUCAGAGGAGAAGGGCGAUAUUGAUACCAGUGAAGUGAAGAAGAAAAAGGAUUCUAUAAGCAAACAUGAUAUUUAAAUGAAUAGAAAACUAACAUGGAUAUAUACUGAGGGUCCAAGAUGGUGCUUCAGAGGUGGAGCUGAACGAGAGGAUUGAAACUAUUAAUGAGUUUGGGGAUUUGAAUAGAGGAGCGCAAGUACUGGGAAAGUCCCCAAUCCAAUAAAAACUACUGGACAGGUUUCCCUUUAAAUUUUGUAAUAGAAAUGGUCUAAUAUUUCCUGGCAAGAUGAAAUGAUUUCGAAUCUUUUAGAUGCUUGAGAGUAUCCAUAGCGCGAAAUGCGAAAAAAAAAAGAAACAAAAAUGCUUAAAUAAAAAGAAGCUAAAUUCAGGUUUAGGUUUGGCAUUGGAACUGAAAACCCGCAGUGGUGGUUAGGAUAUUAAACGAGGCGUCCCAGGUGUAAACUGUGUUUACCAGGCUCACUUUUAAACCAAACCUGGUGCAACUAAGCACAGUAUAAAAACACGCUAUAUAGCCAUGGUCAUUUUAAUAGUGAGCCUAGCAAACAACUACAGUGGCUGAAUUUGACUAUUGCCAGAAGGUGAAUAUUUAUCACUGUUCACUGCGGCCAACGUUAAGAUUAUUUUUUAUUUUUUUUCUGUUCUGUAACUCUACAUUGUGAAAUGACCACACAUAAUGUCUACUACUAGGGUUGCUUUGAUAACUUCUUUGAAGAUUCUGCAUGAAGAUAAAGCCAUCGAAGAACAAAUUCCGUCCAUUCUUUCAACAAGAGGUGCAAAGGCUGGCAACAACUCGUACAAAGAAAACCUGAAACUUGUGUAUGAUCACGUUAAAAGAUAGAAGACGAUCUAGAACUUGGUGAAGAUCUUCUAAAAAUUUCUGAGAGACGAAAUGCUGAUGAAAACCAUGCUAUUUUUGGCAUACACAGCAGAGGGGCAUAGUAGGUUGAAGGCUGUUGAUAUAUGUUUGUCCUUGGAUCAGCAAAAUCCCAAUGUUCAGAUGUUCUGGAAGCUGAGAGUUUGCGCCAGAUAUUGCUGCAGUCAAUGCUGCAGGUGCUCAAAGCAGAAGCAAUAACUAGAAAACUUGUCCAGUAAUUGAUUGUUUUGUGAAUUUUUGUUUUUCAAGUACCCUUUUUUUGGAGUAAUUAUUUCUCCCCAUUGAUGAUGUUCAAUACAACUGCAGAGUCAGUCAGGUUCUGUAGCAGAUUUUGACUUUGACUCUGACUCUAACUCUGUUGAGUAAAUUAUC
Molecule: long non-coding RNA, 2665 nt
Organism: Papaver somniferum (opium poppy)
Lineage: Eukaryota; Viridiplantae; Streptophyta; Magnoliopsida; Ranunculales; Papaveraceae
Exons: 9
Source: RefSeq, a predicted model, not a curated record